CUCGUACCAAUAUAUAGCCUCCCCUUUAAAUCUAUACGCCGCUAACUCCACUGUCUCUCUACCCGUUACAUGCAUAACAUCUAAGGCCCUUUGAAUUUGAUCAAUAAAGUCCUGUGGGUCCUCGUUAAGAUCUGAUCCAGUAAAAGUGGGAGGAUCCAUCUUAAGAAAAUCCUGUGUUCGAAGGCUAGCCGCCCUAUUUGUACUACUAG
This 209-nucleotide long non-coding RNA is filed under the name Capsicum annuum. RNAcentral describes it as "long non-coding RNA (CANN_LNC020958)". The record is from RNAcentral. Lineage: Eukaryota; Viridiplantae; Streptophyta; Magnoliopsida; Solanales; Solanaceae.